GACGAACGCUGGCGGCGUGCUUAACACAUGCAAGUCGAGCGGUAAGGCCCUUUCGGGGGUACACGAGCGGCGAACGGGUGAGUAACACGUGGGUGACCUGCCCUCAGCUCUGGGAUAAGCCUGGGAAACUGGGUCUAAUACUGGAUAUGACUCCACGGUGCAUGUCGUGGGGUGGAAAGCCUUGUGCGGCUGAGGAUGGGCCCGCGGCCUAUCAGCUUGUUGGUGGGGGAUGGCCUACCAAGGCGACGACGGGUAGCCGGCCUGAGAGGGCGACCGGCCACACUGGGACUGAGACACGGCCCAGACUCCUACGGGAGGCAGCAGUGGGGAAUUUUGGACAAUGGGCGCAAGCCUGAUCCAGCCAUGCCGCGUGCGGGAAGAAGGCCUCGG
RNAcentral lists this ribosomal RNA (390 nucleotides) under uncultured bacterium. RNAcentral's name for it is "bacterial SSU rRNA". It matches the Rfam family "Bacterial small subunit ribosomal RNA", at positions 28 to 420 of the family's 1533-position model. The record is from RNAcentral.